ACGGAGCAUGAGUGAAAUUUAGUUUCUUCUUUAAUACUACACAGCUGUAGCGGGUGCCCAUGGCCAGCAGGAAAAAAUUUGGUCUGUGCACCUUCGGGGGUCUCAGAGGGCAUUAAAGCGCAUUCUGAUAAUGCUAGUACGAGUACCUAGAGGGGGGUGAAUAGGUUUAUGAAAAUUUUCUUGAAGAUUGCACAAUACUUAGACAGAUGAAGGAUUAAAAAAUCAAUCGUAAGACUGAGUAAAGGAAAGAGAGAAUUAAACACGAGGUUUAUAGUGGUUCGGCUUGAUUCAAGCCUACGUCCACUCUUCUGCACUGACAGCCGAUUGGCUGGAUUCCACUAUGAACAAAGAGAUGUUACAGUGUUGAUCUUCCUUGAUUUCUCGAUGUAGAUGAUCUACUACACUCGCUCAAGGUAUCACCAAGUAUAAACACUCUCUGUGUAUACAAUUUCGCUCGAACUGUAUCGACUAACAAUCAAGGUCCUUCAGACUCUGGAAUUUUUCUAUCGAUCACACACACUUAAAACAACUAGAACGUCUUCCUUUUAUACUCAUUUAUGCCAUCAUAGCCGUUGGCACUUACCAAAGGAAUUCCUCCAAUCUACCCGUUGGACGGAAUCAAUUAAGAAGAUCAUCCGAGCUAUUUAAGGAAUCUGAUGAUAGCCCAUCAAUCCUGUUCGCCCAUACAAUCAGGAUUUUGGUUUCCAAGAAUAGAACAUUCCAAGAAUGCUUCGUCAACCAUCGGAUCUUCAAUUGUUCUUAGAUAAGAAUCAAAAAAAUCCGAAGUGAUUAUCCAACCAAGGGAUCUUUUCCAGAGGAUUGGAUCUAAUCCCUAACCAUAUACUUCGGCUUCGGAUAUCCUUCGCCACUGGAUUAGAAAGACUGUCAGUGAGAAUAAUCUUGAGUCUUGAGUCUUGAGUCUUGAGAUUACAAAGUCUUGAGACUUUAAACUAUCGAUAUCCAGACUAGACUGAUAGAAAUGUUUUGUCAGCUUCAAAAUAUUCUGGAAAGAUUUCUCCAACACAUUCAACAUCAAAGGCGCAAUUACAGAGUUUACAAUGGUAUAAUACAGACCCCCGGCAUACCCAGUGACAGGCAUCGCACUUUUUCCCUUGCCCAUCCUUUAAGACACGUUUAGCUUCCAAGGUGAGUUUACCG
Molecule: long non-coding RNA, 1158 nt
Filed under: Eucalyptus grandis
Lineage: Eukaryota; Viridiplantae; Streptophyta; Magnoliopsida; Myrtales; Myrtaceae
Description: long non-coding RNA (EGRA_LNC002545)
Source: RNAcentral